RNAcentral lists this ribosomal RNA (397 nucleotides) under uncultured bacterium. RNAcentral describes it as "bacterial SSU rRNA". It matches the Rfam family "Bacterial small subunit ribosomal RNA", at positions 30 to 429 of the family's 1533-position model. The record is from RNAcentral.
AUUGAACGCUGGCGGCAUGCUUUACACAUGCAAGUCGAACGGCAGCGGGGACUUCGGUCCGCCGGCGAGUGGCGAACGGGUGAGUAAUGCAUCGGAACGUGCCUAUCAGUGGGGGAUAACGCUUCGAAAGGAGUGCUAAUACCGCAUAUUCUCUGAGGAGGAAAGCAGGGGACCUUAGGGCCUUGCGCUGAUAGAGCGGCCGAUGUCGGAUUAGCUAGUUGGUGAGGUAAAGGCUCACCAAGGCGACGAUCCGUAGCGGGUCUGAGAGGAUGAUCCGCCACACUGGGACUGAGACACGGCCCAGACUCCUACGGGAGGCAGCAGUGGGGAAUUUUGGACAAUGGGCGAAAGCCUGAUCCAGCCAUGCCGCGUGAGUGAAGAAGGCCUCGGUUGUAAG